GUGGGGAAUAUUGGACAAUGGGCGCAAGCCUGAUCCAGCCAUGCCGAGUGAGUGAUGAAGGCCCUAGGGUUGUAAAGCUCUUUCACCGGAGAAGAUAAUGACGGUAUCCGGAGAAGAAGCCCCGGCUAACUUCGUGCCAGCAGCCGCGGUAAUACGAAGGGGGCUAGCGUUGUUCGGAAUUACUGGGCGUAAAGCGCACGUAGGCGGACAUUUAAGUCAGGGGUGAAAUCCCGGGGCUCAACCCCGGAACUGCCUUUGAUACUGGGUGUCUGGAGUAUGGAAGAGGUAAGUGGAAUUCCGAGUGUAGAGGUGAAAUUCGUAGAUAUUCGGAGGAACACCAGUGGCGAAGGCGGCUUACUGGUCCAUUACUGACGCUGAGGUGCGAAAGCGUGGGGAGCAAACAGGAUUAGAUACCCCUGUAGUCC
RNAcentral lists this ribosomal RNA (425 nucleotides) under uncultured bacterium. RNAcentral describes it as "partial 16S ribosomal RNA". It matches the Rfam family "Bacterial small subunit ribosomal RNA", at positions 354 to 796 of the family's 1533-position model. The record is from RNAcentral.